CAAUAGCGUAUAUUUAAGUUGUUGCAGUUAAAAAGCUCGUAGUUGGAUUUCGGGUGGGACGCAGCGGUCUCGCAUUGCGUUUGUACUGCUGCAGCCCUCCUUCUUGCCGGGGGCGGCCUCUCGGACUUCACUGUCUGGGGGUCAGAAUCGGCGAUGUUACUUUGAGUAAAUUAGAGUGUUCAAAGCAAGCUUACGCUCUGAAUAUAAUAGCAUGGGAUAACACGACAGGACUCUGGCCUAUCGUGUUGGUCUAUAGGACCAGAGUAAUGAUUAAGAGGGACAGUCGGGGGCAUUCGUAUUCCGUUGUCAGAGGUGAAAUUCUUGGAUUUACAGAAGACGAACAUCUGCGAAAGCAUUUGCCAAGGAUGUUUUCAUUGA
This 378-nucleotide ribosomal RNA is filed under the name uncultured eukaryote. RNAcentral's name for it is "partial 18S ribosomal RNA". It matches the Rfam family "Eukaryotic small subunit ribosomal RNA", at positions 592 to 976 of the family's 1831-position model. The record is from RNAcentral.